Molecule: ribosomal RNA, 253 nt
Filed under: uncultured bacterium
Lineage: Bacteria
Also listed under: 1 other name
Description: partial 16S ribosomal RNA
Rfam family: Bacterial small subunit ribosomal RNA
Source: RNAcentral
GACGGAGGAGGCUAGCGUUGUUCGGAAUUACUGGGCGUAAAGCGUACGCAGGCGGUUGAUCAAGUCAGGUGUGAAAGCCCGGGGCUCAACCUCGGAAUUGCGCCUGAGACUGGUCGGCUAGAGUUCGGAAGAGGAGAGUGGAAUUCCCAGUGUAGAGGUGAAAUUCGUAGAUAUUGGGAAGAACACCAGUGGCGAAGGCGACUCUCUGGUCCGAUACUGACGCUCAAGUACGAAAGCGUGGGGAGCAAACAGG